Molecule: unclassified non-coding RNA, 3287 nt
Filed under: Hevea brasiliensis (rubber tree)
Lineage: Eukaryota; Viridiplantae; Streptophyta; Magnoliopsida; Malpighiales; Euphorbiaceae
Source: RNAcentral
GAUGAUUAAAAAAAAAAAUCAUCUCAGAUUCUUUCUUCUACAGUUCAACUGCACUGCCACUCAGAUGAUUAAAAAAAAAAAUCAUCUCAGAUUCUUUCUUCUACAGUUCAACUGCACUGCCACUCAAAGCUUGCUCUAUCGCUCGCUCUCUCUUUCCCUCUGGUAUGUGAUGUUAUAGUAUCAAAAUGGUGACAUCAAGGCCACUGACUCCAUUUGGUGGUUCCCAGUCUGUUUCAUUUGUGCUUUUGGGAUAAACCCUUCUAGUUUAGUUCUUUUCUCCACAAGCUAAAUUUUCUUCACUUGGCUUGCCACAAGCACAAUAUAAUAUGAAUUUUCUGGGAAAUUCUCCAAAUGUUUCUUCUCUGCUCAAUCAGAGUUUUGGAAAUGGGAGUUCAAGCACCAGUCUCUCUGGCCUGGGGGGUUUUCAGCGGGGAAUUGUUGAUACUAUGAUGGAAUCUAAUCCAGUUUCUAUUGUACCAAAUGAUGUUGGUUUCACACCAUCUUUGGCUCCUUUAAACUUGAUGAAUUCUGUUUCUUCUGGUCAAAUUCCAAGUCAUUCUGGAAGCUCAACAUUGUCAGAUCAGCAGCAAUACCAAAUUCAACAAUUUGAGCCACAGAGAUUCCAACAUGGCCAGCAGUCAAUGCAGCAGCUUCCUGUUUCACGCAGUCAACCACAACAGCAACAGCCACAAUUCCAAUCCAUUAGAGGUGGGUUAGGAGUAGGAGGGUCUGUGGUCCCUGUGAAGUUGGAGCCAGAUGUAAUGAAUGAUCAAAUUGGCCUGCAGCCAAAGUUGCAGUCCUUGCAGAGCCUUGGUCCAGUGAAGCUAGAGCUGCAACAGAAUCAGAUUGGAAGAGGCAUAGGACCUGUAAAAUUGGAAAAUCAGCAUUCUGAUCAAGCACUGUUUCUGCAGCAGCAGCUGCAGCUCCUCCACAUGUCCAGGCAGUCUUCUCAAGCCGCCAUUGCACAGAUGAGUUUUUUACAGCAACAGCGCAUUUUGCAGCUGCAGCAGCAGCUACUGGGGGCACUUCCUCAACAACGGCCUCAGUCAUAUCAGCAGUCUCAACAACAGAAUGGGCCCAUUAGAUCUGCUGUGAGAACAGUCUAUGAACCAGGAACCUGUGCUCAGCGAUUGAUUCAAUACAUGUAUCAGCAGCAACAUAGACCUGCUGAUAACAAUAUUGAGUUUUGGCGGAAAUUUGUUUUGGAAUUUUUUGCUAACAAUGCCAGGAAGAGAUGGUGUGUUUCAUUGUAUGGAAAUAGCCGCCAAACUAAUGGUGUUUUUCAUCAGGAUUUAUGGCAUUGUGAAAUAUGCAAUCACAAACCUGGCCGUGGUUUUGAAACAACUGUUGAGGUUCUGCCCAGACUGUUCAAAAUCAAAUACGACAGUGGCACUUUGGAAGAGCUUCUUUGCGUUGAUAUGCCUCAUGAAUAUCAGAACUCAAACGGUCAAAUUGUUCUUGACUAUGCAAAAGCGAUACAAGAAAGUGUUUUUCAGCACCUUCGUGUAGUACAUAAUGGUCAUCUUCGAAUCAUUUUUUCUCCAGAUCUGAAGAUUUGCUCUUGGGAGUUUUGUGCACGGCACCACGAGGAACUUAUUCCACGAAAGUUGAUAAUCCCUCAGGUAAGUCAGCUUGGAGCUGCAGCACAAAAAUACCAGGCUUCUGCUCAAAAAGCAUCAUCCGGCUCAUCGAAACUUGAUUUAGAAAGUAACUGUAAUAUGUUUCUUGCAUCUGCUCGUCAAUUAGCAAAAGCUUUGGAGGUACCUUUAGUUAAUGAUUUGGGAUAUUCAAAGAGAUACGCGCGAUGUCUCCAGAUAUCAGAGGUGGUUAAUAGCAUGAAGGACUUGAUUGACUACAGUCGAGAGACUGGAAAGGGACCAAUGGAGAGUUUGGCGCAGUUUUCCCAUAGGACUAGGCCAGGGCUACAUUAUUCAGUUCAGCAACCUCAGGAGCAGCAGCAAAUUAGAGUUCAUGCCUUGAACAGUGAUCAAUCUGUACAGACAAAUGUUGUGCACCCUUCUGCAAGCAGCAGUGUUGCAAGUGCAGACAACUUUUAUGGUACAGUGUCCACCAUUAGCUCUGUUGCUGGCCUUCUCCGCCAGAAUUCCAUGAACUCACGGAUUGAGAAUCAGAUGAACAAUCCUGGAAGUCCAUAUGCUGGGACUCCUGUUCAGAUCCCAUCUGCGGGCUCUUCAACCGCUCUGCCACAAGCUCAACCCAAUCCUCCUUCUCCCUUCUCAUGUCCAACGCCUUCAUCAUCUAAUAAUCCCCCUCAGAGUUCUCAUAAUGUGCUAACACCAUCAACUGCUGCAAACCAUGUAGUUUCAGCAAAUUCACCAACCCAACUACCAGUGCAACAAUCAUCUUCGGCCAAAUGAGCUCGAUCCAAAUGAGUCGCAGAGAUCUGUUGAGAAAAUCAUACAAGAGAUAAUGAUUUCUUCACAGUUUAGUGGGGGAGGUAGCAUGGUUAGUGUUGAUUCUGAAGGGAACAACAUGAAGAACAUGAAUGGGCUUGCAUUGAAAAAUCAAAAUGUCGUUACUAGUGGGAAGUGCCUCGUGGGCAAUGGUAUUGUAGACUCCAGUUCAAGUACUAUGGGUGGAGAGAUGAGGAGCUUGGGUCAUGGAAAUGGUCUGUCUUCCACCACUACUGGAAUCAAAGCUGCCAUGGGAAACAACUCGGGGACUUUGCUUGGAAGGACGGGCAUGCCAUUGUUGCAUCACGAUGCUGUUAUUAAUCAUCGGCAACAGGAAUUCACUAAUCAGUUAAUGGGAUUGGAGCUGUAAAUAGCUUUCUUGAUGACCAAUUUGACUGGAAAUCUGCCUAAAGAGGUUAGUUUUGCUGAUGUAUUCAUGACAAUUGCCUAUGGCCCUAUGCCUUCUGAUGGGAUAUUCUAUUGGUGAUACCAAGUGCAUCUGCUACAUGAUCGAGGAUUAAUUUGUGUCUAUUAAUUGGAGCUUAUACAGUUGCAGCGAUUUUUGUAGUUGGUACUAUUUCUAGAGGGAAGGAAAAUGUAUAGUUUUGUGUUGAGUUGGUCCACCCUCUCUUCUUAUCUUGAGUUUAUACUUGGGUUCUUUCUGCCGGUUUUGUAUGUAUGGUUUGCACAGCUUUGAAACGAGGAAUCUUGCUUGAGGCAUGUCCAUUGUAACUAUGCUUCAUCUUUCCCUAUAUGGGGGAUUAUGGAAAAAUUUUGUCAAUCGAGUCAUUGAUUAGCAACAGCUGCAUAUGGUACAGUUAUAAUAAUAAAAUGGUGCAUCUUUCAUACUGCAGCCACCAAUAUUAAUCUUUG